Molecule: small RNA, 175 nt
Filed under: Chrysemys picta bellii (western painted turtle)
Lineage: Eukaryota; Metazoa; Chordata; Testudines; Emydidae
Description: TUC338 (ENSCPBG00000006207.1)
Source: RNAcentral
UGGGCAGCACUGGAAAUAGAAGACCUCUAGUUACCAACAAAGCUGGUAUUGCAAGGGUAGCAGCAGUGCAGGCUUUCCACACUGCCCUAUUAAAUGUGUCCCAACCAUGACCUGAAGAAGUCAUCUCUAGGCCUAAAACAGGUGAGUUUUCACAUCCAUUCCACUUUUAGGCUCA